ACAGGAGGGGAGAAAGGUGUUGUUGUUGUUGUUUUUGUUUUUGUUGUUGUUGUUGUUGUUGUUGUUGUUGUUGUUGUUACAGUCCCGGUUCAUGAACUAGAAAAGAAGACACAAUGUAGUUACGAAACGCAGGAGCAUCUGGCUAGAGGUCCAGGCCCAUCCGACUUCACUGCCCACUUGCCAGAAUCCUAGCUUGGACGCCAGUCACUGAUAAUUUGAGGUCAAUUUGCAAAUCGCACAUGAGUCCAGCGCCGCAGGUGGCCCGGUGGGCAGAGAAUGAUAAAUGCCAGGAACAGAUGGGACCCUGCACCUGCGGUAAAGGCACACAGGGUUUCUGCCCUCUCAGAACCUACAUUUUAGAGAGGGAGCAGACGAUAAACCAAAGAGAGUAUACAUACAUACAUAAUCAGGAAAACGUUGGUGAACUGUUAGCACGGAGACAGUGCCAUGCAGAGAGCUUUGGAAGGAAUGGGUGAUGGGAGUAGCCCCUGAAGGCCUCUAGGAGGACUUCCCAAAGUCCUCCCAAAAGAGGAAGAACUCGGCAGCUCUCAGGCAGUAGGAACUGCGGAUGGAAGCUAUUACUGACAGAACGGUGUGAGCAUAAAAGAUGGUGUUGGAGGACCAUCCAGGGCUGAAGAACAGUGAGGCCAACCUGGUCUACAUAGUGAGUCCAGGAAUGCACCUGAUACAUACAUUCCAAAGCGCAUCUGCAAAUCUAGCUGCAAGAGAGGCCUGGAAAUGCGGUUCUUAUCUGUCUCACCUCUGUGCUGUCUGUACACAUGAUCAGAAACUGAGUACACAGCAAAUACAUCAGCAGAGAAAAAUGUAUGUGAUAUAUCCUUUUCUGAUGAGUUUAAAUUUGUAUUAAGUAAACCAACAUGGAUCCUGUUGGCUCCAUCAUGCUUUGUGAAUCUCCUAAAUUCUCAUCUCUAUGUCCACCAUUUAUUUCCUGGAAAUCUGUAACUGACCAGGAGCUACCUUUAUCCUCUUCGUGGUAGUGAGAGUGAGAAAGGCCCUGGACUUUCAGUCCCCAGUUGGCAGACUGUUUAGGAGGUGUGGCCUUGUUAGAGCAGGUGUGUUACUGAGGGUGAGCUCUGAAGUGUCUAAGAAAGAUCUCCAAAUCUCUGUGCCUCCGUGUCUCUCUAUGUCUCUGUGUCUCUCUGUGUGUGUCUCUGUCUCUCUCUCUCUCUCUCUGUCUCUCUCUCUCUUUGUGUAUGCGUGUGUGUGUGUGUGUGUGUGUGUCUGUCUGUCUGUCUGUCUGUCUCCCCUCCUCCCCAAAGAUGUAAGUACUGUUCCAGCACUAUGCCUGCCUGCCUCCUGUCACAUUCCCAUGUUAGUCAUAGACUCCCCCUCCAAAACCGGAAGCCCCAAAUAAACUCUUUCCAUAUUGCCUUUUUCAUAGCAUCUUAUCACAGCAAUAGAAAAGUAAUCAAGACACUCCUAUAAACCAUUCUCUACACUAAAACACAUGGUUAAAAAGGGGGAGAGGCACGUGCAAACCCUCCAAUCACAGACCUCUCCCACAGCUUUCCUGUUCUCAGGAUGAAGACACACCUCUGUGAGUGGUUCUCAGAAUUCCACGUGGCCGGGCUCCCGCCCCCUUCACCUGCCCCUCUGUCUCUUCCAUUCUCCUACACCGGUCUGCUCUGCUUUCUGUCAUUUCCUGACACAGGUCCUGGCGCAUGUGUUCCCUCUCUAUACCCAGUAUGUGCCAUUCCUUCUCUUCCUUUGUGAAUGGUGAUUCAUUCUUCAGACCUCCUUCAGUUAUCCCGUCUUCAGGGAAGUCCUCCCACACAGCCUGUCAUUGCUCUGGUUGAGACUGGGAGGUUUGUUUUGUUUGGGGUCUGCCUGUUUAUUUUGAUAGCACCGCCCACAGUUUGAGAUUGUGUUCACCGUUUUCUGAUCAAUUUCUGUCUCCUCUCGGAUGGAGUAUGCAUUCAUCUUCCUGUGCCCGCCUCAGCAGCUAGUGGUAGGUUAAUUUUCAAAUAUUUAUCACAAGAAUAAAAGGAAUUGAAAAGAAGUGACCUUUAGCAGAAUCUGCCCAUGUCAGGCCUGGAGGGCAUGACUGCUCAGGGCCGAGUCCCAGAAAGACUCUCACAGCCAACUGAAAGUAGAAAGAUGCUGUCUCCUUGAAGACUGCCCAGUUGUCAAGGUUACAAGUUAUGUGACUUUUAUUUCAUCCUUUUUCCUUUAAUAUAUGCCCCAGUUUCUUAGAGCCCCAUCAACUCCAUCAGAAUAUAAGAAGAAGCUGAAGAGGUGGCUUCCUUUGUCUGUGUCCAUCCUGCCGGUUCCAUAGACCUUUCUCUGUGUACAGAGAUGAAAACCAGAAACCUACAGAAGUAUUUACUUCUACCUUUCCAUGACGUGGGUGGCACUUUUGCAGAGGUCUCUUCAUUUCUCCACAGUAUUCUUGAGACACAGGAUUCCAUCAAAAGAAGGUGCUUCGGUCCUUGGUUCCUAUAACUUGCACAUGAGUCUGCUGCCGACCCCCUGUCUUAGUUACGUUCAUGUGAAUGGACACCAUGACCAAGGCAACUCUUAUAAAGACAACAUUUAAUUAAGGUGGGCGUUCAGGUUCAGAGGGUCAGUCCGUUAUCAUCUGCAUCUUCAUCUGAAGGCUGCUAGCAGAAUACUGACUUUCAGGCAACUAGGAUAAGGGUCUUAAAGUCUACACCCACAGUGAUACACCUACUCCUAAAAAGCCACACAUACUCAAACAGGGCCACACCUUCUAAUAGUGCCACUUCCUGGGCCAAACAUAUUCAUAGCACCACACCCCCAGGAUGCCAUGCUCAGAUGAAAUUAGUUCUUCAGAAGAAGAAACUGUGAGGCCCUUGCUCUCAUAGAUGCUUAAAACAAUGAACUGAGGUUUUGGAAACUGCAAAUAAAUGUGCCUGGGAAGAGUGUACACUUAGCCUAGACCAGUGGUUCUCAACCUGUGGCUCGUGACCCCUUUGGGGUCACACAUCAGACAUUCUGCAUAUCAGAUAUGUAUGUACAUUAUGAUUCAUAACAGUAGCAAGAUUACAGUUUUGGAGUAGCAACAAAAUAACUUUAUGGCUGGAUGUCACCACAUGAGGAACUGUGUUAAAGGGUCACAGCCUCAGGAAGGUUGAGAACGGCUUGUAUAAAGCAUGGCAACCCCUGGAGUCCCUUUCUUCAAGAAGUGGAGUUUUCUGGACUGAUUUUGAAAGUUCAGUUUCACUGAUGCCUCAUGCACACCAGUACUGCCAUGCCAAACACCCUAGUUCAAUUCCAGUACCACCACAUGUGUAUUUUUCUUGCUAGAAAAAAGUUAUACAGCAAAAUAACAGCAAAACAAUAAUAAAAACAAAAAACAAGUCAAAUAGGAUAAAAUUGUCUAAAAAAUGUCACUUACAAAAAUUUCUUCCAUUACUCAGUAUUUCCUUCUAGUAUUUCCCUACAUAGAUGUAAUUUUAGGAUAAACACACAUAAAUUCUGUUUACGUUAAUAUCAUGCAAGUUUUCCUAAUUGCUGUUCCAUGAUUAUCAACAUAAUGUCAGAAGUUUGCCGAAGUGAUCACUAGGAAAACUAGGAAAAACCUGAAAAUGGGCGUGACAUCAGCAAACUUGUGCUGCCCUAGAAAUAUCUGCACUUUUAAUACAAAGGAGUAGAUGGGAACACCGCCUCCCCCAACUAGUAGCUCUUUCUUAAGUGACUAGUGUCAAGUUUUAAACUUUGCUUCUUUAUUAAAAAAAAAAAGACUAUUUUAGUUUUAUGCAUGAGUGUUUUGCAUGCAUGCUUGCCUGCACAUCUGAACACCACUCGCAUGCCUGGCAUCCAGAGAGGCCAGAAGAGAGCACUGGAUGUUCUGGAACCAGAGUCACAGAUGGCUGCGAACAGUCAUGUGGGUGCUGGCAAUCAACGCUGGGUCCUCCAAAGGAGCAUGCAGUCCUCUCUAACACAGAACUAUCUCUUGGCCCUUCUUCAUAUUCAAAUGAGGUUCACAAUACAUUGAAAUUGAAAGUAGUAAUACCAUCAGCUAAGGUAGAUCUCAAGGAGAUUUAAUUAACUUCUAUUUUAAUCAUCUUCCAACUAGUUCCUUUUAGAGAGAUUCUGAGAAAGAAGUUACAGAGCUAAAAUCAUUUUCCUGGGACGGGACCCUGACACCCAGGUACUGAGGUGGGGGUAGGGUAGGCAGACCAGAGGCUGAUGACUUCUGGCAAUUGACUCCUGCUUAUAGCAGCAAGGGGUUAAGAAAAGAAAGUUACAUAGUGGAUUUUAUUGAUGGAUUUCCAUAUAUUGAACCAUCCCUGCAUCCCUGGAAUGAAGCCUACUUGAUCAUGAUGGAUGAUCGUUUUGAUGUGUUCUUGGAUUCGGUUUAUGAGAAUUUUAUUGAGUAUUUUUGCGUCGAUAUUCAUAAAGGAAAUUGGUCUGAAGUUCUCUUUCUUUGUUGGAUCUUUGUGUGGUUUAGGUAUAAGCAUAAUUGUGGCUUCAUAGAAGGAAUUGGAAUAGUUUAGACAGUAUUUGUAUUAGAUCUUCUAUGAAGGUCUGAUAGAAUUCUGCACUAAAGCCAUCUUGUUCUGGGCUCUUUUUGGUUGGGAGACUUUUAAUAACUGCUUCUAUUUAUUUAGGAGUUAUGAGAUUGUUUAUAUGGUUUAUCUGAUCCUGAUUUAACAUUGGUACCUGCUAUUUGUCUAGAAAAUUGACCAUUUCAUCCAGAUUUUCCAGUUUUGUUGAAUAUAGGCUUUUGUAGUAAGAUCUGAUGAUUUUUUAAAUUUCCUCAGAUUCUAUUGUUAUGUCUCCCUUUUCAUUUCUGAUUUUGUUAAUUUGGACACACUCUUUGUGUCCUCUGGUUAGUCUGCUAAAGGUUUAUCUAUCUUGUUGAUUUUCUCAAAGAACCAGCUCCUGGUUUUAUUGAUUUUUUGCAUAGUCUUUUUUUGUUCCUACUUGGUUGAUCUCAGCCCUGAUCAUUUCAUUAGAUGCUGAGAAAGCAUUUGACAAAAUUCAACACCCCUUCAUGAUAAAAGUCCUGGAAAGAUAGGAAUUCAAGGCCCAUACCUAAACAUAGUAAAAAGCAAUAUACAGCAAACCAGUAGCCAACAUUAAACUAAAUGGUGAGAAACUUGAAGCAAUCCCACUAAAAGUAGGGACUAGACAAGGCUGCCUACUGUCUCCCUACUUAUUCAAUAUAGUUCUUGAAGUUCUUGAAGCCAGAGCAAUCAGACAGCGAAAGGAGGCCAAAGGGAUACAACUUGGAAAGGAAGAAGUCAAAAUAUCACUAUUUGCAGAUGAUAUGAUAGUAUAUUAAGUAACCCCAAAAGUUCCACUUAGCCUGAUAAACAACUUCAGCAAAGUGACUGGGUAUAAAAUUAAUUCAAACAAAUCAGCAGCCUUUCUCUACUCAAAGGAUAAAUAGGCUGAGAAAGAAAUUAGGGAAAUGACACCCUUCACAAUAGUCACAAAUAACAUAAAAUACCUUGGUGUGAAUCUAACCAAGCAAGAGAAAUAUCUGUAUGACAAGAACUUCAAGUCUCUGAAGAAAGAAAUUGAAGAAGAUCUCAAAAGAUGGAAAGACCUCCCAUGCUCAUGGAUUGGCAGGAUUAAUAAAGUAAAAAUGGCCAUUUUGCCAAAAGCAAUCUACAGAUUCAAUGCAAUCCCCAUCAAAAUUCCAACUCAAUUCUUCAUAGAGUUAGAAAGAGUAAUUUGCAUAUUCAUUUGGAAUAACAAAAAACCCAGGAUAGCAAAAACUAUCCUCAACCAUAAAAGAACUUCUGGGGGAAUCACCUUCCCUGACCUCAAGCUGUAUUACAGAGCAAUGGUGAUAAAAACUGCAUGGUAUUGGUACAGAGACAGGCAGGUAGAUCAGUGGAAUAGAAUUGAAGACCCAGAAAUGAACCCACACACCUAUGGUCACCUGAUCUUUGACAAAGGAGCUAAAACCAUCCAGUGGAAAAAAAGAUAGCAUUUUUAAAAAAUGGUGCUGGUUCAACUGGAGGUCAACAUGUAGAAGAAUGCAGAUCGAUCCAUGCUUAUCACCCUGUACAAAGCUUAAGUCCAAGUGAAUCAAGGACCUCCACAUCAAACCAGAUACACUCAGACUAAUAGAAGAAAAAGUAAAUGGGGAAGAGCCUUGAACACAUGGGCACUGGGGAAAAUUUCCUGAACAAAACACCAAUGUCUUAUGCUCUAAGAUCAAGAAUCGACAAAUGGGACCUCAUAAAACUGCAAAGCUUCUGUAAGGCAAAGGACACUGUGGUUAGGACAAAACGGCAACCAACAGAUUGGGAAAAGAUCUUUACCAAUCCUACAUCUGAUAGAGGACUAAUGUCCAAAAUAUACCAAGAACUCAAGAAAUUAGACUCCAGAGAGCCAAAUAAUGCUAUUAAAAAAUGGGGUACAGGGGUUGGGGAUUUAGCUCAGUGGUACAGCGCUUGCCUAGCAAGCGCAAGGCCCUGGGUUCGGUCCCCAGCUCCGAAAAAAAAUGGGGUACAGAGCUAAACAAAUAAUUCUCAGCUAAGGAAUAUCAAAUGGCUGAGAAGUAUCUAAAGAAAUGCCCAACAUCGUUAGUCAUCAGGGAAAUUCAAAUUAAAAUAACUCUGAGAUUCCACCUCACACCAAUCAGAAUGUCGAAGAUAAAAAACUCAGGUGACAGCAGAUGCUGGUGAGGAUGUGGAGAAAGAGGAACACUCCUCCAUUGUUGGUGGGAUUGCAAACUGGUACAACCAUUCUGGAAAUUAGUCUGGAGGUUCCUCAGAAAAUUGAACAUUGAACUACCUGAGGACCCAGCUAUACCUCUCUUGGGCAUAUACCCAAAAGAUGCUCCAACAUAUAACAAAGACACAUGCUCCACUAUGUUCAUGCAGCCUUAUUUAAAAUAGCCAGAAGCUGGAAAGAACCCAGAUGCCCUUCAACAGAGGAAUGGAUACAGAAAAUGUGGUACAUCUACACAAUAGAAUAUUAGUCAUCUAUCAAAAACAAUGACUUUAUGAAAUUCAUAGGCAAAUGGAUGGAACUGGAAAAUAUGCUGAGUGAGGUAACCCAAUCAUAUAAAAACACACAUGGUAUGCACUCAUUGAAGUGGAUAUUAGCCCAAAAACUCGAAUUACCCAACAUAAAAUCUACAGAUCACAUGAAGCUCAAGAAGAAGGAUGACCAAAGUGUGGAUAUUUCAGUCCUUCUUAAAAAGGGGAACAAAAAUAUUCAUAGGAGGGGAUAUGGAGAUAAAGUUUGGAGCAGAGUUUGAAGGAAUGGCUAUUCAGAGCCUGCCUCACUCAGGUAUACAGCCCAUUUAUACACAGCCACCAAAACUAGAUAUUAUUGAUGAAGUCAAGAAAUGUAUGCUGACAGGAGCCUGAUAUUGCUGUCUCCUGAGAGGCUCUGCCAGAGCAUGUCAAAUACAGAGGCGAAUGCUAGCAGCAAACCAUUGAACUGAGAACAGGGUCCCUGUUGGAGGAAUUAGAAAAAGGAUUGAAGGAGCUGAAGGGGCUUGCAACCCCAUAAGAACAACAAUACCAACCAACUAGAGCUCCCAGGGACUAAACCACUACCCAAAGAGUACACAUGGACAGACCCAUGACUCCACCUGCAUAUGUAGCAGAGGAUGACCUU
Non-coding RNA from Rattus norvegicus (Norway rat), 7572 nucleotides. The record is from RefSeq and is a predicted model, not a curated record. Lineage: Eukaryota; Metazoa; Chordata; Mammalia; Rodentia; Muridae.